UACGAACCGGACACACGUUAUUCGGAAUUAUUGGGCUUAAAGGGUGCGUAGGCGGCCGCGUAAGUCGGGUGUGACAUCCCUCGGCUCAACCGAGGAAUUGCGCCCGAUCCUGCGUGGCUUGAGGGAGACAGAGGCGAGCGGAACUGAUGGUGGAGCGGUGAAAUGCGUUGAUAUCAUCAGGAACACCGGUGGCGAAGGCGGCUCGCUGGGUCUCUUCUGCCGCUCUUGCACGAAAGCUAGGGUAGCGAACAUG
Molecule: unclassified non-coding RNA, 253 nt
Filed under: uncultured Pirellulaceae bacterium
Lineage: Bacteria; Pseudomonadati; Planctomycetota; Planctomycetia; Pirellulales; Pirellulaceae
Description: contains 16S-23S intergenic spacer region
Rfam family: Bacterial small subunit ribosomal RNA
Source: RNAcentral